UUAGAUUAGUUGCUCCUACGUUUGUAUUGUGGAGAGGCUUUUUCAUGAGAUAAAACUACUUAAUUAGCAUGCUUUACCUGCACGAUUGUGAUUUGGUUUUCAUGAGAUAAACUACUUUGGUUCUGUAAUAUUGCUCAUAGGUCAGCAGCAUUAUAUUUAUCGGACAAAAAGGUUACAUGAACGGGAAGAACGAGGUGACAGAAUUAUAUUAAUUAUUGCUCGAAAAGGUUAAAUGAAUAUGAUAGACAAGCAGAAGUGGUGCAUAAUGAGAUUUAUAACCUUAUUUCGAUGCGUAUGCUAUGUUGGCUGAGACAGAGCAUUGGAGUUUCCAAAACCACAGCAAGGUGUGGAGUCUCCCAACAACCCUAAUGUUCCAAGCCGCGCGCUCCAGCCGCUCGUCGGAAUGCCCCAAAGAGAAGGCUUCUAAACCAUCAGCCACCUACCUAUUCGAGGCGCAUUGAUCUGAUGACAAUGUAAGAUACCCGAGCGCGGUCAUCGAUGAUUGAUCUGAGAACGACAAUGAGCCAUGAAGAGUUUGGAGGGGGCAAAAAUAUAACUCAGAUACAAUGAGCUGCAGAGCAGUUUGACCUGACAUUCAGUAGGUUUAGGGGCAGCAGAAUGUAGAAAGCAGCAGUCAAGAGAUUGCUUCUGUUGCACACAGGGUAAAAAGUGCAGAUAUGCAAGAUUUCAUCUGAGAACAGAAAAAAAUGUAUAUUUUUUCUGUUGCAGUUUUUUAAUAAACAGAAAAGAAAAGAAUAUUGGGGUUCAGAGUAGAAUAAUAAAAAAUGAAAAAAUAGUACUAUCGCCUUCCAGUUAAAUGAACAGAAAUGGAUCAAUUUACGCCAGUUUUAACCCAUGAAGUCCAGACACAUGAUUCAAUGAGUCACUGGGUUGAGGCCUCAUGCAUAGUAUGAUGAAAGUUGAGCUAAAUGGAAAUUUAAAAUUGAUCUCAAAAGAAUGAAAAUUUACCAUAGAUGAAAUGCAAAGUAGAAGAUUUACCUGGAAUAUUUACUAACUUCAUAAAUUAAUUAACUGCACAACUUGAGUCAUGAUACUGUAACUUAUCUCUAAUAAUAUGGUUGCAAUUGUUACAACUUAUCUCUCCCUCUCUGGUAAUAGUUGGUAAGUUAGUUAUUAGAC
Musa acuminata subsp. malaccensis (wild Malaysian banana) is the source of this 1140-nucleotide non-coding RNA. NCBI's taxonomy places the organism in Eukaryota, Viridiplantae, Streptophyta, Magnoliopsida, Zingiberales, Musaceae. The record is from RefSeq and is a predicted model, not a curated record.